RNAcentral lists this ribosomal RNA (538 nucleotides) under Ceramothyrium exiguum. RNAcentral's name for it is "eukaryotic LSU rRNA". It matches the Rfam family "Eukaryotic large subunit ribosomal RNA", at positions 71 to 626 of the family's 3401-position model. Lineage: Eukaryota; Fungi; Ascomycota; Eurotiomycetes; Chaetothyriales; Chaetothyriaceae. The record is from RNAcentral.
GGGAUUGCCUCAGUAACGGCGAGUGAAGCGGCAACAGCUCAAAUUUGAAAUCUGGCCUUUCAGGGUCCGAGUUGUAAUUUGUAGAGGAUGUUUCGGCCACGACCCCGGGUUAAAUUUCUUGGAACAGAAUGUCAGAGAGGGUGAGAACCCCGUCCUGACUCGGGCGUACGGGUCAUGUGGAACUCCUUCGACGAGUCGAGUUGUUUGGGAAUGCAGCUCAAAAUGGGUGGUAAAUUUCAUCUAAAGCUAAAUAUUGGCCAGAGACCGAUAGCGCACAAGUAGAGUGAUCGAAAGAUGAAAAGCACUUUGAAAAGAGAGUUAAACAGUAUGUGAAAUUGUUGAAAGGGAAGCGCUUACAACCAGACUUGAGCGCGACGGUUCCCCCUGGCUUCUGCCUGGGUUACUCCGUCGUGUCCAGGCCAACAUCGGUUCCAGGGGUCGGUUAAAGGCCUUGGGAAUGUAUCCCUUCGGGGUCGACUUAUAGCCCAGGGUGUCAUGCGACCACCCGGGACCGAGGAACGCGCUUCGGCUCGGAUGU